RNAcentral lists this ribosomal RNA (797 nucleotides) under uncultured Glomeromycotina. RNAcentral describes it as "SSU rRNA". It matches the Rfam family "Eukaryotic small subunit ribosomal RNA", at positions 314 to 1114 of the family's 1831-position model. Lineage: Eukaryota; Fungi; Glomeromycota. The record is from RNAcentral.
AUCAACUUUCGAUGGUAGGAUAGAGGCCUACCAUGGUGGUAACGGGUAACGGGGUGUUAGGGCACGACACCGGAGAGGGAGCCUGAGAAACGGCUACCACAUCCAAGGAUGGCAGCAGGCGCGCAAAUUACCCAAUCCCGACACGGGGAGGUAGUGACAAUAAAUAACAAUACGGGGUUCUUUUGGAUCUUGUAAUUGGAAUGAGUACAAUUUAAAUCUCUUAACGAGGAACAAUUGGAGGGCAAGUCUGGUGCCAGCAGCCGCGGUAAUUCCAGCUCCAAUAGCGUAUAUUAAAGUUGUUGCAGUUAAAAAGCUCGUAGUUGAAUUUCGGGAUCAAUAUGUUGGUCGUGCCUUGGUACGUACUAAUUUAUUGGUUUCUUCCUUCUGACGAACCAUGAUGUCAUUAAUUUGGUGUCUUGGGGAAUCAGGACUGUUACUUUGAAAAAAUUAGAGUGUUUAAAGCAGGCUCACGCUUGAAUACAUUAGCAUGGAAUAAUGAAAUAGGACGUUUGAUUCUAUUUUGUUGGUUUCUAGGAUCGACGUAAUGAUUAAUAGGGAUAGUUGGGGGCAUUAGUAUUCAAUUGUCAGAGGUGAAAUUCUUGGAUUUAUUGAAGACUAACUACUGCGAAAGCAUUUGCCAAGGAUGUUUUCAUUAAUCAAGAACGAAAGUUAGGGGAUCGAAGACGAUCAGAUACCGUCGUAGUCUUAACCAUAAACUAUGCCGACUAGGGAUCGGAUGAUGUUAAUUUUUUAAUGACUCAUUCGGCGCCUUACGGGAAACCAAAGUGUUUGGGUUC